GAUGAAGAACGUAGCGAAAUGCGAUAAGUAAUGUGAAUUGCAGAAUUCAGUGAAUCAUCGAAUCUUUGAACGCACAUUGCGCCCGCCAGCACUCUGGCGGGCAUGCCUGUUCGAGCGUCAUUUCAACCAUCAAGCUCAGCUUGGUGUUGGGCCCCGCCGCCCCGGCGGGCCCUAAAGUCAGUGGCGGUGCCGUCCGGCUCCGAGCGUAGUAAUUCUUCUCGCUCUGGAGGUCCGGUCGUGUGCUCGCCAGCAACCCCCAAUUUUUUUCAGGUUGACCUCGGAUCAGGUAGGGAUACCCGCUGAACUUAAGCAUAUCAAUAAGCGGAGGA
This 329-nucleotide unclassified non-coding RNA is filed under the name soil metagenome. RNAcentral describes it as "partial contains 5.8S ribosomal RNA, internal transcribed spacer 2, and large subunit ribosomal RNA". The stretch from base 1 to 120 matches the Rfam family "5.8S ribosomal RNA", at positions 35 to 154 of the family's 154-position model. The record is from RNAcentral.